CCCCGCGUUUUUUCAUUUUUUAGGGGGUAAAAGGGGGGUUGCGGGAUCAAAUGGUACUAAUCCUCUGGUUCUAGAGGAAGGAGGCCCUGGUAAUAUAGAGUUUGGCCGCGAGGUAAGUAAGCGCCAAAAAUUGUUCCAACCAGGAAUUAAACUCAGAUUCUCUCGAACUAUUUGUCCUAUAGAGAGCUCGUUAACCACUUGAGCUCAAUCACUUGGUUUGAGAGCCACCUUUUAAUGUCAAUUGUAAGGAGCAUUAUCAUAAGAUUUUUAACAUUUAUUUAAUUAGAGAAGUAAAACGUUAUUAUUAUGAUCAACACUUCAUUCCCAAUUUUUUGUACUAAAAAAUUUAACCUCUGAUGAGGAAAUUACCCAACAAGACCUUAAUGAAGCAAUCCAAGGUUUGGGAGGUCCAAUGACAAGGGAGCGAGCUAAGAAGGCUAAGGAAGGUUUAACUAACUUAAUAACCAACUUGAUGGGAGCAGAAGAAUAAAAGGACGAAAUAGAGUCAAGAAUUAUCAAUUUGAUCACGUCAAGUGAAGAUGGCAUUGAGACAGGGCAUGCUGCCCAAAUUUGAAGUUUUCUUAAUUUUUUAUUUCAUGUUGUAAUAAAAGUGUGAGGUCCAAAUUAUCUAAAUUAGACCAAAACACUUAGAAUAUUUUUAAUUUAUUUUGCUUGCCAAUUAUAAGCUUUUAAAGUUUUAAUUAGGCAAUUAGUGUGUUUAUUUUCUUGCAAAUAAAGAGCUGAGCAAGGGAGAGGAAAACAGGUGAGCAUGAGUGAAAUUACACAAGAAAACAGCUAGUUCACUCUUAAUGUGUGAUCAUACCUUCCUUAAUUGGCCACCAAGUGAAUAUUGGCUGGUCAAUGCUAAUUAUUAGCAAUAAUGAGCGAGAUUUGACUCAGUUUUUUAGCUUUUGUAAUUCUCUAUAUAAGGGGACGAAAAUCAAUGAAUAAAUGAGACUAUUAUGCAGAAUUUUACACUUUGUGUGAAUUGAGAGUAUUGUCUCUUUUUGGUUCUAGAUUGGACCAAGCUUUUGAUCUUAUCAAGAAACCAAGUUUCUUGUGGUGAUCCUCAUUUUGGCUUAUCAUCCUUUCUAAUCAAUAGAAAGAGUGUGGCGCCCCAUUUCUGACCUUUUCCACCCAUUCUUCACGUUAUUUCUAUGUUUCAUUAUGUCAUAACUAUAUUUUUAUAAGUAAUUUUCGUACUCCAUUUUACCUUUUCCAAAUACAAGCUUAAACUUCAUCAAAUAUUG
Molecule: long non-coding RNA, 1250 nt
Filed under: Trifolium pratense (red clover)
Lineage: Eukaryota; Viridiplantae; Streptophyta; Magnoliopsida; Fabales; Fabaceae
Description: long non-coding RNA (TPRA_LNC004573)
Source: RNAcentral